CGGUGUUCAACUGGCGUGUCCGCGGGACGUCCUGCCGGUGGGCUUAGCCCGCAAGGGCGGCCCAACUUCAAAUCCCAUCGCGGUGCUCUUCACUGAGUGUCGAGGUGGGCCGGCACGUUUACUUUGAACAAAUUAGAGUGCUUAAAGCAGGCUAAAACUUCGCCUGAAUACUGUGUGCAUGGAAUAAUGGAAUAGGACCUCGGUUCUAUUUUGUUGGUUUUCGGAACCCCGAGGUAAUGAUUAAUAGGAACGGAUGGGGGCAUUCGUAUUGCGACGUUAGAGGUGAAAUUCUUGGAUCGUCGCAAGACGGACAGAAGCGAAAGCAUUUGCCAAAAACGCUUUCAUUGAUCAAGAACGAAAGUUAGAGGUUCGAAGGCGAUCAGAUACCGCCCUAGUUCUAACCAUAAACGAUGCCAGCUAGCGAUCCGUCGACGUUCCUCCGAUGACUCGACGGGCAGCUUCCGGGAAACCAAAGCUUUUGGGUUCCGGGGGAAGUAUGAUUGCAAAGCUGAAACUUAAAGGAAUUGACGGAAGGGCACCACCAGGAGUGGAGCCUGCGGCUUAAUUUGACCCAACACGGGAAACCUCACCAGGCCCGGACACCGGAAGGAUUGACAGAUUGAGAGCUCUUUCUUGAUUCGGUGGGUGGUGGUGCAUGGCCGUUCUUAGUUGGUGGAGCGAUUUGUCUGGUUAAUUCCGAUAACGAACGAGACUCUAGCCUGCUAACUAGGCGUAUUUUCGACAUCUCAAAGGUCCGUCGUCCCGGCCCUCGGGUCGUGGGCGUGCGCGAUUUUUACUGUCGGCGUACUAUCAAUUCUUCUUAGAGGGACAGGUGGCUUCUAGCCGCACGAGAUUGAGCAAUAACAGGUCUGUGAUG
This 877-nucleotide ribosomal RNA is filed under the name uncultured eukaryote. RNAcentral's name for it is "SSU rRNA". It matches the Rfam family "Eukaryotic small subunit ribosomal RNA", at positions 636 to 1469 of the family's 1831-position model. The record is from RNAcentral.